AUGAGGACGCAGCGCGCCGGAUCUGACCGCGCACCGCCUUCUAAUCCACUCCCCCCACCACCGCCGCCCAUGCCGGCCGUCGGGGCGCGGCGCUCCACGCGGGCCUUCCUGCCCCGGGCGCACAAGCAGGCCCCGCGCCCGCCGGAGCCCGCCAGGGUCACGCGCGCCGCCAAGCGCCUCGCCGUCUCCUCCCACUCCCACUCCCACUGGCUCGGGUGGGAGCGCGCCGCCGCCGACGUCAGCGACGACGAGGAUGACGACGAGGGCCCCAAGCCGCGCACGCCGCCGCGCGAGCCCUCGCCCGAGCCGCCCAUGUCGCCCAGGUCCUUCGGGGCCGUGUACAGGCGCAAGCGCCGCCAGAGGCCGCCGGCCGAGGCCGAGCCGGAGUAUUUCGGCCACGGCCACGGCAGCCGCAGCGGCAGGAGGUUCGGGAUAGUCUUCACCAGGAAGCACAAGCGGCCAAAGCUCGCCCCUUUCAGCCCCGGCGGCGGCGACAUCCUCUGCUCCUCGUCCAGGGAGUUCGCUUCAAGGGCCGGGCUCCUGGAAGACGCUCAUUUUCCGGAUGGCGCUGCCAGCGGUCGCAGUGCUGUGCUCGUCGUCCUCAUGGACGCGUCCUCCCCCGGCAGCUCGAGCCGGUUCUCGCGCUUGCUCCUGCCCAUGCUGCUGUGGCUGCGCCGGCGCCAGCGGAGCCAUGUCCGGAGCCUGGCCUCCUUUCUUCUGGCCUCACCGGCUGUCGCCCCCGCGUUUGCGUCGCACGGGGUGCACUUCAUCAGGCUCCAGCGCCAGAGAGCCAGUGCAUUGUUGCAGAGGCCUACGGUGGUGAACUGCGGGUGGUGCGAGCUCCGUGGUGCCGACCCGUCCCGGCAGCCAGUGUUGUCGCUCAACUUCUCGGCGCUUCCUUUGUACUUCCAGGGCUUGCAUUCCGUGAUGGCUCUUCGUUUCAUAUAUAUGCCAGCCGUGAUUCGCCGGGCCAUGGGUUUGGUUGGAGGAGCUGAAGAAGGAUCGUAUUCUCGAGAUCAUCUGGUGGUGGAUUCUGGCGGUUCUCCCAGCACCGGGGACGCCACACCUGCUGCUGGAUCUUCUUACGGAGCGGUUCAGGAUUACGUGCCCCUUGAGCAAGCUCCGGGAGUAGUGCUGCAUGGUCUGAGGCUGAAGAAGCACCAGAGGAAGCGAAGCUCGAUGAGGCACCCCCUGAGCCGGCGCCGCCGUCUCACAGUGAGAUUUUCUGACAAGGAAUUUGGAGUGAAGGAGGGUGCCGCGACCUCUCAGGCGGAACUGCAAAAGACACCAUUGACUGGCGGCCCUGAGGUUUCCGAGGAACCUGUCCAGCCCAAGCCAGCAAUGGAAAUUUCUCUUGACCUGCUUGAGAACAUGGAUGACAGCGAUGUCUCGACGCCCAUGGGACCAAGCGGGAAGCAGAAGAGGUCUUUUUUCAAAAGCCCCGUUGAUCGCACGAGUGAAAGGCUGGCUCUGUCCGAGGUUAGACAGAAUAUAGACACCUUCCGCUGCAAAGCAAACCUCUUGAUUAUUCAGGCUGAUAGGUGCUGGAGGGAAGAGGGAGCUGAGGUUAUGCUGGAACUGUCAAACUCCAACGGGUGGUGCGUGGCCGUAAAGUUACAUGGUGUCACCAGAGUCUCCCUUAAGCCUUCAGAGCAGAGGUUCUAUGUCGUCAACCGCCACACCCAUGCCUACGUCUGGGCGGUCGAAGAUGGAUGGAAGCUCGAGUUCCCCGACAAAUGGGACUGGCUUUUGUUCAAAGAACUGCAUAUCGAGGGACGGGAGCGCAAUUCUCAGGGAAAGAUUAUCCCGAUUCCAGGUGUGCAUGAGGUCUCCGAUGGCAUGGGAGGGACUGUAGCAGAUCCAUUCUCACGCCCUGUGCCAGACUACAUCAGAACGGCGGAUGAUGAGGUUGCGCGGGCCCUCUCGAGAGAUUCAGCUUAUGACAUGGACUCGGAGGAUGAAGAGUGGCUCAUUCAGCUGAAGCAUGGGGCCUCCGAUAGAAGACGCACCCGCCUGAGCCAGAUUUCCUACGAAGAUUUUGAGAAAUUAAUAACCGUGUUCGAGAAGGACGCCUACAAUAAUCCCGAGGAAGCCAAUGAUGUGGACCAGCUUCUCUCCAGGCAUCCUGCUUUAGGCAUGGGUGACAAUGUCCUUGCCAUAUAUGAAUACUGGAUUAAUAAGAGAGAUAAGAAAGGCACACCUCUGCUUAGGAUAUUUCAGGGUGCACCUGCUGUAAGGCGAGGACGGCUGUCGCAGAAAUCUUCUGUAAAAAAGAAGAGAUCUGUGAAGAGACCACAGAGAAGCCAACCUGGCCGAGGAAAGCCCGGGUUCUUCUUGCAAGGUGGCGAAGGGGAGGCCUUGCAGAGGGUGGUGGAGGCCGACCGCGCGGCGAAGCAGGCCGUGGAGAAGGCGGUCCAGCUGCGCAGCAGGGCCCAGGCCCUCAUGGAGAGGGCCAACCUGGCGGCGUACAAGUCGGUGAUGGCGGUGAGGAUGGCGGAGGCCGCGAGCGUGUCUAACAAGUGCCGGGAUUUCGUAUGGAGGAGCCUCGACUAG
RNAcentral lists this ribosomal RNA (2553 nucleotides) under Triticum aestivum (bread wheat). Its description in RNAcentral is "partial small subunit ribosomal RNA". The record is from RNAcentral. Lineage: Eukaryota; Viridiplantae; Streptophyta; Magnoliopsida; Poales; Poaceae.